UCCCCGUUACCGGGGCAGUCUGAUUAGAAAAAUACAACUAAUCACAAGGGUUGCGCUCGUUGAUGGACUUAACCAAACAUCUCACGACACGAGCUGACGACGGCCAUGCAACAUCUGUCACCGAGUUCCCCGUACUUACUUCAAUAUACUCCAUGAAAAAUCAUGGUAUUCAAAUAACUACGGGGCACUCAAUCCUUUCGGAUUAAUUCUCGGGAUGUCAAACCCUGGUAAGGUUCUUCGUUUAGCAUCGAAUUAAAGAACACGAUCCACCGCUUGUGCGGGUCCCCGUCAAUUCCUUUAUGUUUUAGUCUUGCGACCGUACUCCACAGGCGGGAUACUUAACGCGUUAGCUUCGCUACUGAAGGGGUCGAUACCUCCAACAGCUAGUAUCCAUAGUUUA
This 400-nucleotide unclassified non-coding RNA is filed under the name uncultured bacterium. RNAcentral's name for it is "contains 16S-23S intergenic spacer region". The record is from RNAcentral.